GCCGGGGUGGGGUAGUUGGUUAUCCUUCGGGACUGUGGAUCCCGCGACUCGGGUUCAAAUCCCGGCCCCGGCCCCA
Molecule: transfer RNA, 76 nt
Filed under: Methanothermobacter tenebrarum
Lineage: Archaea; Methanobacteriati; Methanobacteriota; Methanobacteria; Methanobacteriales; Methanobacteriaceae
Also listed under: 2 other names
Description: tRNA-His
Rfam family: tRNA
About the family: Transfer RNA (tRNA) molecules are approximately 80 nucleotides in length.
Source: RNAcentral